Molecule: non-coding RNA, 134 nt
Filed under: Gordonia effusa
Lineage: Bacteria; Bacillati; Actinomycetota; Actinomycetes; Mycobacteriales; Gordoniaceae
Also listed under: 1 other name
Source: RNAcentral
CAGCGAAGCCUCUUCCGUUGUACAGUCAUCACAGCCAGUCGACGCGGGGAACCCGGUGAGAAUCCGAGACGGUCGCGCCACUGUGAGCAAGCGCAAGCUGCGAGUCAGACACCUGCACUGGCCAUGAGUCACAA